GGUAUCAGAAGUGCGAAUGCUGACAUAAGUAACGAUAAAGCGGGUGAAAAGCCCGCUCGCCGGAAGACCAAGGGUUCCUGUCCAACGUUAAUCGGGGCAGGGUGAGUCGACCCCUAAGGCGAGGCCGAAAGGCGUAGUCGAUGGGAAACGGGUUAAUAUUCCCGUACUUGGUGUUACUGCGAAGGGGGGACGGAGAAGGCUAUGUUGGCCGGGCGACGGUUGUCCCGGUUUAAGCGUGUAGGUGUGUGUUCCAGGUAAAUCCGGUUCACUUUAACACUGAGGCGUGAUGACGAGGCACUACGGUGCUGAAGUAACAAAUGCCCUGCUUCCAGGAAAAGCCUCUAAGCAUCAGGUAACAUCAAAUCGUACCCCAAACCGACACAGGUGGUCAGGUAGAGAAUACCAAGGCGCUUGAGAGAACUCGGGUGAAGGAACUAGGCAAAAUGGUGCCGUAACUUCGGGAGAAGGCACGCUGACACGUAGGUGAAGUGAUUUACUCACGGAGCUGAAGUCAGUCGAAGAUACCAGCUGGCUGCAACUGUUUAUUAAAAACACAGCACUGUGCAAACACGAAAGUGGACGUAUACGGUGUGACGCCUGCCCGGUGCCGGAAGGUUAAUUGAUGGGGUCAGCGCAAGCGAAGCUCCUGAUCGAAGCCCCGGUAAACGGCGGCCGUAACUAUAACGGUCCUAAGGUAGCGAAAUUCCUUGUCGGGUAAGUUCCGACCUGCACGAAUGGCGUAAUGAUGGCCAGGCUGUCUCCACCCGAGACUCAGUGAAAUUGAACUCGCUGUGAAGAUGCAGUGUACCCGCGGCAAGACGGAAAGACCCCGUGAACCUUUACUAUAGCUUGACACUGAACAUUGAGCCUUGAUGUGUAGGAUAGGUGGGAGGCUUUGAAGUGUGGACGCCAGUCUGCAUGGAGCCGACCUUGAAAUACCACCCUUUAAUGUUUGAUGUUCUAACGUGGACCCGUUACCCGGGUUGCGGACAGUGUCUGGUGGGUAGUUUGACUGGGGCGGUCUCCUCCUAAAGAGUAACGGAGGAGCACGAAGGUUGGCUAAUCCUGGUCGGACAUCAGGAGGUUAGUGCAAUGGCAUAAGCCAGCUUGACUGCGAGCGUGACGGCGCGAGCAGGUGCGAAAGCAGGUCAUAGUGAUCCGGUGGUUCUGAAUGGAAGGGCCAUCGCUCAACGGAUAAAAGGUACUCCGGGGAUAACAGGCUGAUACCGCCCAAGAGUUCAUAUCGACGGCGGUGUUUGGCACCUCGAUGUCGGCUCAUCACAUCCUGGGGCUGAAGUAGGUCCCAAGGGUAUGGCUGUUCGCCAUUUAAAGUGGUACGCGAGCUGGGUUUAGAACGUCGUGAGACAGUUCGGUCCCUAUCUGCCGUGGGCGCUGGAGAACUGAGGGGGGCUGCUCCUAGUACGAGAGGACCGGAGUGGACGCAUCACUGGUGUUCGGGUUGUCAUGCCAAUGGCACUGCCCGGUAGCUAAAUGCGGAAGAGAUAAGUGCUGAAAGCAUCUAAGCACGAAACUUGCCCCGAGAUGAGUUCUCCCUGAGACUUUAGGUCUCCUGAAGGAACGUUGAAGACGACGACGUUGAUAGGCCGGGUGUGUAAGCGCAGCGAUGCGUUGAGCUAACCGGUACUAAUGAACCGUGAGGCUUAACCUUACAACGCCG
This 1678-nucleotide ribosomal RNA is filed under the name Salmonella enterica. Its description in RNAcentral is "partial 23S ribosomal RNA". It matches the Rfam family "Bacterial large subunit ribosomal RNA", at positions 1278 to 2925 of the family's 2925-position model. The record is from RNAcentral. Lineage: Bacteria; Pseudomonadati; Pseudomonadota; Gammaproteobacteria; Enterobacterales; Enterobacteriaceae.